This 298-nucleotide long non-coding RNA is filed under the name Elaeis guineensis (African oil palm). Its description in RNAcentral is "long non-coding RNA (EGUI_LNC031111)". Lineage: Eukaryota; Viridiplantae; Streptophyta; Magnoliopsida; Arecales; Arecaceae. The record is from RNAcentral.
UACACUCUCACCCCAGUGUCUUUACACCGCAGACUUGAAACUCAUCUGUCUCAAAGGGAGGUGAUCCGUGCACCGAUCUUGAAUGGAUUGAUCACUGUCCUCUAUGACGAUCCUUUAAUCAGGAGUAUUUAAAAAUUAACCACUAAUGAUGUAUGUUUCAAAUUUUUAACACCUUGAGAAUAUACAAAAUCAUCUUUGUUAAUUUCUAGGACAAAUCAUGGACACAUAAGACAUGAUUGGUUAUAAAAACUAUCCAACAAGUACAAAACUUGCCCUAGAGUAAAGUAUGUGUCAGUCA